Molecule: ribosomal RNA, 492 nt
Filed under: uncultured bacterium
Lineage: Bacteria
Description: partial 16S ribosomal RNA
Rfam family: Bacterial small subunit ribosomal RNA
Source: RNAcentral
AGUGAACGCUGGCGGUAGGCCUAACGCAUGCAAGUCGAACGGCAGCACAGUAAGAGCUUGCUCUUACGGGUGGCGAGUGGCGGACGGGUGAGGAAUACAUCGGAACCUACUUUUUCGUGGGGGAUAACGUAGGGAAACUUACGCUAAUACCGCAUACGACCUACGGGUGAAAGCAGGGGAUCUUCGGACCUUGCGCGAUUGAAUGAGCCGAUGUCGGAUUAGCUAGUUGGCGGGGUAAAGGCCCACCAAGGCGACGAUCCGUAGCUGGUCUGAGAGGAUGAUCAGCCACACUGGAACUGAGACACGGUCCAGACUCCUACGGGAGGCAGCAGUGGGGAAUAUUGGACAAUGGGCGCAAGCCUGAUCCAGCCAUACCGCGUGGGUGAAGAAGGCCUUCGGGUUGUAAAGCCCUUUUGUUGGGAAAGAAAAGCAGCAGGUUAAUACCCCGCUGUUCUGACGGUACCCAAAGAAUAAGCACCGGCUAACUUCGUG